GGUGGCCCAGUGGUAGAGCACUUGCCUUGCAUGUAUGAGGCCCUGGGUUCGAUUCCCCAGCACCA
This 65-nucleotide transfer RNA is filed under the name Dipodomys ordii (Ord's kangaroo rat). It matches the Rfam family "tRNA". Rfam says of the family: Transfer RNA (tRNA) molecules are approximately 80 nucleotides in length. Their secondary structure includes four short double-helical elements and three loops (D, anti-codon, and T loops). The record is from Rfam by way of RNAcentral. Lineage: Eukaryota; Metazoa; Chordata; Mammalia; Rodentia; Heteromyidae.